UCUAGAACUCACAAGUAGUAAAACAAAUUAAAACUUUUUAGAUUUGGCGGUUGCUAAAUAUUAGAGAAACUCGUUUUAUAAUCGAUAAUACCCGAUAAUUUUAACUUCAUUUUAGAGCCAAUAUACCUCCGUUAAAGAACUAACCCAAUAAAUUAAUCUUAAUUAAAAUUUUAACAAAAUCAGGUCAAGGUGUAGCCCAUAAAAAAGUAAAAAUAAGUUACUUAUAAAAACUAUUCUAAGAUAGGCCGUUCCAAAAACAAAUUGAAACAGAAUCUAAAAGCAAAACACAGUUAAAAACUAUAUUUUAAACACACUAUAGCAAUGU
RNAcentral lists this ribosomal RNA (325 nucleotides) under Tupigea cf. teresopolis Br07/100-42. RNAcentral describes it as "partial 12S ribosomal RNA". The record is from RNAcentral. Lineage: Eukaryota; Metazoa; Arthropoda; Arachnida; Araneae; Pholcidae.